UACGUAGGGUGCAAGCGUUAAUCGGAAUUACUGGGCGUAAAGCGUGCGCAGGCGGUUGUGCAAGACAGAUGUGAAAUCCCCGGGCUUAACCUGGGAAUGGCAUUUGUGACUGCACGGCUAGAGUGUGUCAGAGGGGGGUAGAAUUCCACGUGUAGCAGUGAAAUGCGUAGAUAUGUGGAGGAACACCGAUGGCGAAGGCAGCCCCCUGGGUCAAGACUGACGCUCAUGCACGAAAGCGUGGGGAGCAAACAGG
This 253-nucleotide ribosomal RNA is filed under the name uncultured bacterium. RNAcentral's name for it is "partial 16S ribosomal RNA". It matches the Rfam family "Bacterial small subunit ribosomal RNA", at positions 524 to 776 of the family's 1533-position model. The record is from RNAcentral.